This 371-nucleotide ribosomal RNA is filed under the name uncultured bacterium. RNAcentral describes it as "bacterial SSU rRNA". It matches the Rfam family "Bacterial small subunit ribosomal RNA", at positions 144 to 507 of the family's 1533-position model. The record is from RNAcentral.
UAACGUAAGCGAAAGUUACGCUAAUACCGCAUACGAUCUAAGGAUGAAAGCGGGGGAUCGCAAGACCUCGCGCGAUUGGAGCGGCCGAUAUCAGAUUAGGUAGUUGGUGAGGUAAAGGCUCACCAAGCCGACGAUCUGUAGCUGGUCUGAGAGGACGACCCAGCCACACUGGGACUGAGACACGGCCCCAGACUCCUACGGGAGGCAGCAGUGGGGAAUUUUGGACAAUGGGCGCAAGCCUGAUCCAGCAAUGCCGCGUGCAGGAUGAAGGCCUUCGGGUUGUAAACUGCUUUUGUACGGAACGAAACGGUGAGCUCUAAUACAGUUUGCUAAUGACGGUACCGUAAGAAUAAGCACCGGCUAACUACGUG